Molecule: ribosomal RNA, 128 nt
Filed under: Caldanaerobacter sp. enrichment culture clone RBG8
Lineage: Bacteria; Bacillati; Bacillota; Clostridia; Thermoanaerobacterales; Thermoanaerobacteraceae
Description: partial 16S ribosomal RNA
Rfam family: Bacterial small subunit ribosomal RNA
Source: RNAcentral
CGGGAGGCAGCAGUGGGGAAUCUUCCGCAAUGGGCGAAAGCCUGACGGAGCGACGCCGCGUGAGCGAAGAAGGCCUUCGGGUCGUAAAGCUCGAUAGUGUGGGAAGAAGGAAUGACGGUACCACACGA